Non-coding RNA from Schistosoma haematobium, 46 nucleotides. Lineage: Eukaryota; Metazoa; Platyhelminthes; Trematoda; Strigeidida; Schistosomatidae. The record is from Rfam.
ACACUGCUGAGGAGUCCCAGACUAGGACGAAACGGCCUUUCAGUGA